UACGUAGGGUGCAAGCGUUGUCCGGAAUUAUUGGGCGUAAAGAGCUCGUAGGCGGCUCGUCGCGUCGGCUGUGAAAACCUGGGGCUCAACCCCGGGCCUGCAGCCGAUACGGGCGAGCUAGAAUUCGGUAGGGGAGACUGGAAUUCCUGGUGUAGCGGUGAAAUGCGCAGAUAUCAGGAGGAACACCGGUGGCGAAGGCGGGUCUCUGGGCCGUAAUGAUCGCUGAGGAGCGAAAGCGUGGGGAGCGAACAGGAUUAGAACCGUACCGU
This 269-nucleotide ribosomal RNA is filed under the name uncultured bacterium. RNAcentral describes it as "partial 16S ribosomal RNA". It matches the Rfam family "Bacterial small subunit ribosomal RNA", at positions 524 to 789 of the family's 1533-position model. The record is from RNAcentral.